UGCAGUCGAGCGGAAGGCCCUUCGGGGUACUCGAGCGGCGAACGGGUGAGUAACACGUGAGUAGCCUGCCCUAGGCUCUGGGAUAACUGUCGGAAACGAUGGCUAAUACCGGAUAUUCAGCUUUCACCGCAUGGUGGUUGUUGGAAAGUUUUUCGGCUUGGGAUGGGCUCGCGGCCUAUCAGCUUGUUGGUGGGGUGAUGGCCUACCAAGGCUUCGACGGGUAGCCGGCCUGAGAGGGUGACCGGCCACACUGGGACUGAGACACGGCCCAGACUCCUACGGGAGGCAGCAGUGGGGAAUAUUGGACAAUGGGCGGAAGCCUGAUCCAGCAACGCCGCGUGAGGGAUGACGGCCUUCGGGUUGUAAACCUCUUUCAGCACAGACGAAGCCGACCCUACGUGUGGGGUGGGUGACGGUAUGUGCAGAAGAAGCACCGGCCAACUACGUGCCAGCAGCCGCGGUAAUACGUAGGGUGCGAGCGUUGUCCGGAAUUAUUGGGCGUAAAGGGCUCGUAGGCGGUUUGUCGCGUCGGGAGUGAAAUCCACUGGCUUAACUGGUGGCUUGCUUUCGAUACGGGCAGACUGGAGGUAUGCAGGGGAGAACGGAAUUCCUGGUGUAGCGGUGAAAUGCGCAGAUAUCACGAGGAACACCGGUGGCGAAAGCGGUUCUCUGGGCAUGUCCUGACGCUG
This 689-nucleotide ribosomal RNA is filed under the name uncultured Actinomycetes bacterium. Its description in RNAcentral is "bacterial SSU rRNA". It matches the Rfam family "Bacterial small subunit ribosomal RNA", at positions 56 to 748 of the family's 1533-position model. The record is from RNAcentral. Lineage: Bacteria; Bacillati; Actinomycetota; Actinomycetes.